RNAcentral lists this ribosomal RNA (502 nucleotides) under uncultured bacterium. RNAcentral's name for it is "partial 16S ribosomal RNA". It matches the Rfam family "Bacterial small subunit ribosomal RNA", at positions 30 to 523 of the family's 1533-position model. The record is from RNAcentral.
AUUGAACGCUGGCGGCAGGCUUAACACAUGCAAGUCGAGCGGGGUGAUGGUGCUUGCACUAUCACUUAGCGGCGGACGGGUGAGUAAUGCUUAGGAAUCUGCCUAUUAGUGGGGACAACGUCUCGAAAGGGAUGCUAAUACCGCAUACGUCCUACGGGAGAAAGCAGGGGAUCACUUGUGACCUUGCGCUAAUAGAUGAGCCUAAGUCGGAUUAGCUAGUUGGUGGGGUAAAGGCCUACCAAGGCGACGAUCUGUAGCGGGUCUGAGAGGAUGAUCCGCCAAACUGGGACUGAGACACGGCCCAGACUCCUACGGGAGGCAGCAGUGGGGAAUAUUGGACAAUGGGGGGAACCCUGAUCCAGCCAUGCCGCGUGUGUGAAGAAGGCCUUAUGGUUGUAAAGCACUUUAAGCGAGGAGGAGGCUCCUUUGGUUAAUACCCAAGAUGAGUGGACGUUACUCGCAGAAUAAGCACCGGCUAACUCUGUGCCAGCAGCCGCGGUAA